RNAcentral lists this ribosomal RNA (2235 nucleotides) under Salmonella enterica. RNAcentral's name for it is "bacterial LSU rRNA". It matches the Rfam family "Bacterial large subunit ribosomal RNA", at positions 594 to 2812 of the family's 2925-position model. The record is from RNAcentral. Lineage: Bacteria; Pseudomonadati; Pseudomonadota; Gammaproteobacteria; Enterobacterales; Enterobacteriaceae.
UGACUGCGUACCUUUUGUAUAAUGGGUCAGCGACUUAUAUUCUGUAGCAAGGUUAACCGAAUAGGGGAGCCGGAGGGAAACCGAGUCUUAACCGGGCGUUAAGUUGCAGGGUAUAGACCCGAAACCCGGUGAUCUAGCCAUGGGCAGGUUGAAGGUUGGGUAACACUAACUGGAGGACCGAACCGACUAAUGUUGAAAAAUUAGCGGAUGACCUGUGGCUGGGGGUGAAAGGCCAAUCAAACCGGGAGAUAGCUGGUUCUCCCCGAAAGCUAUUUAGGUAGCGCCUCGUGAAUUCAUCUCCGGGGGUAGAGCACUGUUUCGGCUAGGGGGCCAUCCCGGCUUACCAACCCGAUGCAAACUGCGAAUACCGGAGAAUGUUAUCACGGGAGACACACGGCGGGUGCUAACGUCCGUCGUGAAGAGGGAAACAACCCAGACCGCCAGCUAAGGUCCCAAAGUCAUGGUUAAGUGGGAAACGAUGUGGGAAGGCCCAGACAGCCAGGAUGUUGGCUUAGAAGCAGCCAUCAUUUAAAGAAAGCGUAAUAGCUCACUGGUCGAGUCGGCCUGCGCGGAAGAUGUAACGGGGCUAAACCAUGCACCGAAGCUGCGGCAGCGACGCUGAUGCGUUGUUGGGUAGGGGAGCGUUCUGUAAGCCUGCGAAGGUGUGUCGUGAGGCAUGCUGGAGGUAUCAGAAGUGCGAAUGCUGACAUAAGUAACGAUAAAGCGGGUGAAAAGCCCGCUCGCCGGAAGACCAAGGGUUCCUGUCCAACGUUAAUCGGGGCAGGGUGAGUCGACCCCUAAGGCGAGGCCGAAAGGCGUAGUCGAUGGGAAACGGGUUAAUAUUCCCGUACUUGGUGUUACUGCGAAGGGGGGACGGAGAAGGCUAUGUUGGCCGGGCGACGGUUGUCCCGGUUUAAGCGUGUAGGUGUGUGUUCCAGGUAAAUCCGGUUCACUUUAACACUGAGGCGUGAUGACGAGGCACUACGGUGCUGAAGCAACAAAUGCCCUGCUUCCAGGAAAAGCCUCUAAGCAUCAGGUAACAUCAAAUCGUACCCCAAACCGACACAGGUGGUCAGGUAGAGAAUACCAAGGCGCUUGAGAGAACUCGGGUGAAGGAACUAGGCAAAAUGGUGCCGUAACUUCGGGAGAAGGCACGCUGACAUGUAGGUGAAGUGAUUUACUCAUGGAGCUGAAGUCAGUCGAAGAUACCAGCUGGCUGCAACUGUUUAUUAAAAACACAGCACUGUGCAAACACGAAAGUGGACGUAUACGGUGUGACGCCUGCCCGGUGCCGGAAGGUUAAUUGAUGGGGUCAGCGCAAGCGAAGCUCCUGAUCGAAGCCCCGGUAAACGGCGGCCGUAACUAUAACGGUCCUAAGGUAGCGAAAUUCCUUGUCGGGUAAGUUCCGACCUGCACGAAUGGCGUAAUGAUGGCCAGGCUGUCUCCACCCGAGACUCAGUGAAAUUGAACUCGCUGUGAAGAUGCAGUGUACCCGCGGCAAGACGGAAAGACCCCGUGAACCUUUACUAUAGCUUGACACUGAACAUUGAGCCUUGAUGUGUAGGAUAGGUGGGAGGCUUUGAAGUGUGGACGCCAGUCUGCAUGGAGCCGACCUUGAAAUACCACCCUUUAAUGUUUGAUGUUCUAACGUGGACCCGUAAUCCGGGUUGCGGACAGUGUCUGGUGGGUAGUUUGACUGGGGCGGUCUCCUCCUAAAGAGUAACGGAGGAGCACGAAGGUUGGCUAAUCCUGGUCGGACAUCAGGAGGUUAGUGCAAUGGCAUAAGCCAGCUUGACUGCGAGCGUGACGGCGCGAGCAGGUGCGAAAGCAGGUCAUAGUGAUCCGGUGGUUCUGAAUGGAAGGGCCAUCGCUCAACGGAUAAAAGGUACUCCGGGGAUAACAGGCUGAUACCGCCCAAGAGUUCAUAUCGACGGCGGUGUUUGGCACCUCGAUGUCGGCUCAUCACAUCCUGGGGCUGAAGUAGGUCCCAAGGGUAUGGCUGUUCGCCAUUUAAAGUGGUACGCGAGCUGGGUUUAGAACGUCGUGAGACAGUUCGGUCCCUAUCUGCCGUGGGCGCUGGAGAACUGAGGGGGGCUGCUCCUAGUACGAGAGGACCGGAGUGGACGCAUCACUGGUGUUCGGGUUGUCAUGCCAAUGGCACUGCCCGGUAGCUAAAUGCGGAAGAGAUAAGUGCUGAAAGCAUCUAAGCACGAAACUUGCCCCGAGAUGAGUUCU